This is a long non-coding RNA of Lutra lutra (Eurasian river otter), 975 nucleotides long. RefSeq lists it as uncharacterized. The record is from RefSeq and is a predicted model, not a curated record. Lineage: Eukaryota; Metazoa; Chordata; Mammalia; Carnivora; Mustelidae. The transcript has 3 exons.
ACCAUUCCUCCUGACACUAGGGAGCCCAAUGGCUGUCUUAUGUAGGUUGGUGUUGACAAUAUGAGACAAGAGAUCCUGCAAACACCCACAGAAAUCCUCUCCCACUCCGUGACAGAAAACAACUGUGGACUUCUCAGUGCCUUUCCAGGCCUGGCUGGUAUGAAGACUCAGCCUAACACCUUUGCAAAGUGGCAUUUGAGCGAUUUAUAACGAAGACACACCUAACUGAUUAGGGCAGAGCAGACACUUACGCCAAAGAAGCAGACCCUGGUGACAGGCCACAGUCCUCAGCAGGCUGGGGAGCAAGAAGAUCUCGGAUGUGAACUAACCUGUCCUCGUCGUGGAAGGAAAGGGGCAGCCUCCCAACAGACCCAGGCUUCUAUUUCCUCUAUUGCAAAAUGUCCCCAGUGUGGGAAUGUGGCUGGUAAUCUCCGCAGGCACAGAGAACACGAGACGCUGUCUGAUGAACAGUGCCACUGGCCUGCCAGUCAUGUGUAGCGGUGUAUACUUUGUCUUGGGAUCUCCAUUUUCCACCCGACGCUGACGGUUGUUUCUGAUUUUCCUGUUCACUUCAAAUGGCUCCCCGCCCCUACUCCCCACAAAUUUCUGUUCUUCCCUUCUUUACUUGCAGUGGUUCCUAAGUCAUGUCUCAACCAUUUAUACCUUAAGAAGUUCAGCCAGUGUUUGAUUUCCCCGUGGAUGUUACAUUAUAUAUUGUAUGCAUGUGUAUACACAGCAUAGAUUCCACACACAUAGUACAUAUAAACCUAUAUAUAAAAUAAGAGUAGUUCCUCAAUAUGGGAAAAAGGCUUUGUGCCUCAUUAGAGAAUUGCUUAGCUUGGCUUCCUUCUUACAUAUCAGUGUCCUUUUCCUGUCAUAAAAUAAAUCUCAUAAUAGACAAAUUUGGGAACAAGUUUUAAAUAAAAAGUAAAAGUAUUUCUUUUACUCUUUAGAGGGAUAGAAUACUAUCCCUCA